RNAcentral lists this long non-coding RNA (378 nucleotides) under Sorghum bicolor (sorghum). Its description in RNAcentral is "long non-coding RNA (SBIC_LNC014539)". The record is from RNAcentral. Lineage: Eukaryota; Viridiplantae; Streptophyta; Magnoliopsida; Poales; Poaceae.
GGAGGGUUGUUCUUAGUAUAAAUAUCCCCUACCUCUAAGCUAUCAGCAACCUUUGAUCAUAAGAUAAACUACAUGAUAUUGCAGCCGCACUGCUGAGUGCCUUACUCAACCUUUGUUCUUUCUUGUUCUUCAUGGACUUGUGAAGUGAAUCCUCUGGGUUCCCCUACUUCAUGCUCUACGGCUUCUGUUCGGCUGCGCCGUAUUGUAUGGAUUAGUUCCGGAUUGUGGUUCUGCGGUCGUUCGGAGAUCGAGUCAAAGUGUUCGCGGUUUCGGUGCCUCUCUCCCCGUCGCUUGGUCGCAUCCAACCUUUGUCAGGUAUAAAGCUAGUGAUCUACUGUUCACAGCAAGUUAUCCAUGUUCUUUUGAUCUACUGUNNNN